AUGGAGAUGGAGGGCUCGCCCCCUCGCGUGCUCCUCCACGGAGUGCUAGCAGCCCACACGGCGUACAUCAGCCAUCCGUUUCGUCCGUCCCAUGCGCCGGCUGCCGGUGGCUACCGCUCUGUUCUGUUCAUCCCCCGCCCGCCGCACGCGAUGGCCCACACUGCCAUGUUGUUUUGCUGCAGCCAGACCGCCAUCGCUGCCCUCGCGCUCCGGGCAGAGGCUCGUUCUUGCUGGUACGCGUUCCUCCCGACGGUGGCGCUCUGCCCACUGCGUCGCCUUUCUUCCAGCGGCUGCGCCGUUCAACCCCUACCUCUAACCUAUUGA
Molecule: ribosomal RNA, 324 nt
Filed under: Triticum aestivum (bread wheat)
Lineage: Eukaryota; Viridiplantae; Streptophyta; Magnoliopsida; Poales; Poaceae
Description: partial small subunit ribosomal RNA
Source: RNAcentral